RNAcentral lists this non-coding RNA (664 nucleotides) under Pongo abelii (Sumatran orangutan). Lineage: Eukaryota; Metazoa; Chordata; Mammalia; Primates; Hominidae. The record is from RNAcentral.
AAAGCAGCCCAGGGCCGCCGCCCAGCGCCCCCCAGCCCCGAGGAGAGCCGUCGCGACCGGGGGCUGCCUGGGCAAGGGCGGGGCGAGAGCGCAGAACGCCUGCUCUCGGACAGGGUGUUCUUAAAAUAAACCGGAAAGAACGGAGGUAAAAAUACUGGAGUGUUUCCUCCACACUGGAAAGGAGAGAGGAGGUGGGGAGGGGUAUGGUAUUUGUAGGGCAGCGCUGUGAACAAUGGAACCAUCAAAAAGGCCUUCUCCCAGCCGCCUCACCAACCACGGACAUUCCUGGCCCAACAAGCCCUCCUGGCCUGGUUUUGAGCCCUGCUUCCCAGAUCUGGGGACCCUUCACCUGCCUCUACUACUGCAAAUGAUUGGAUAUUCGUCUGCCUUGGCUCUUCCCUAAUGUGUGGAACUAAUUUUGUUCACUCUGUUUCAUGCUGGACCUGGCCUGAAAAUGGGCCCUUACAUUGUCUUUGCACUUUCCAACUUGCCAAGUUUCUGAAAGAAGGACCAAAGUAAUGCCAAGAACUCCCAGAUGAAGAGGACCUUCCUUAGACCUAUAACAGAUUCACUACUUGACUUCAGAGGGACGUUUCAGCUAAUUCUCAGGAAAAGGUCAAAACAGGCCUGUGACUGUCCCUCGAAUACUGAAGGUAUAAACAAG